RNAcentral lists this ribosomal RNA (253 nucleotides) under uncultured bacterium. Its description in RNAcentral is "partial 16S ribosomal RNA". It matches the Rfam family "Bacterial small subunit ribosomal RNA", at positions 524 to 776 of the family's 1533-position model. The record is from RNAcentral.
UACGGGGGGAGCAAGCGUUGUUCGGAUUUACUGGGCGUAAAGGGCGCGUAGGCGGCGUGGUAAGUCACUUGUGAAAUCUCCGGGCUUAACUCGGAACGGUCAAGUGAUACUGCUGCGCUAGAGUGCGGAAGGGGCAACUGGAAUUCUCGGUGUAGCGGUGAAAUGCGUAGAUAUCGAGAGGAACACCUGCGGCGAAGGCGGGUUGCUGGGCCGACACUGACGCUGAUGCGCGAAAGCCAGGGGAGCGAACGGG